GUACACUCCUGCGGGAGGCAGCAGUGGGGAAUUUUGGACAAUGGGCGAAAGCCUGAUCCAGCAAUGCCGCGUGAGUGAAGAAGGCCUUCGGGUUGUAAAGCUCUUUUGUCAGGGAAGAAACGGUGAAAGCUAAUAUCUUUUGCUAAUGACGGUACCUGAAGAAUAAGCACCGGCUAACUACGUGCCAGCAGCCGCGGUAAUACGUAGGGUGCAAGCGUUAAUCGGAAUUACUGGGCGUAAAGCGUGCGCAGGCGGUUUUGUAAGUCUGAUGUGAAAUCCCCGGGCUCAACCUGGGAAUUGCAUUGGAGACUGCAAGGCUAGAAUCUGGCAGAGGGGGGUAGAAUUCCACGUGUAGCAGUGAAAUGCGUAGAUAUGUGGAGGAACACCGAUGGCGAAGGCAGCCCCCUGGGUCAAGAUUGACGCUCAUGCACGAAAGCGUGGGGAGCAAACAGGAUUAGAUACCCGAGUAGUCCCA
RNAcentral lists this ribosomal RNA (475 nucleotides) under uncultured organism. RNAcentral describes it as "partial 16S ribosomal RNA". It matches the Rfam family "Bacterial small subunit ribosomal RNA", at positions 331 to 797 of the family's 1533-position model. The record is from RNAcentral.